Molecule: long non-coding RNA, 4224 nt
Filed under: Marmota monax (woodchuck)
Lineage: Eukaryota; Metazoa; Chordata; Mammalia; Rodentia; Sciuridae
Source: RNAcentral
CUUUGCUGAGUUUUGCUGUGCAUUUUAACUGCAUUAUGCAUUUUUGAACACAUGUUAAAAAGUAGGGUUGUAUUUUCAUCUAUUUUGUGAUAUUGUCUGUUGAUUUUUUGUUGUUGUUGUUAAAGAUGUUACACUGCCCUUUCCCCCCCACACACAAUUUUUACCUGGUAUCUUUGUGUAGAUACAUACUGGGUUUUUGUUGUUCAUAUUUGAUCAAGAUGCAUUCUUUCAAACUAACUAUUAAGAGGGAAAUUACAGGUAUGCCAAGAACAUUAGUUGCAUCUUAGGUGCAAGAUAGUUUUCCUGGUUUCUCUGCUCAAAACUUCUGUCCUCUUUUGUGCCAGUGGAUUCAUUCUUCAAAGUAUAGCCACAUCUUCUGGGCCUCUCUAACUUAAGUGAUUUAAGUAGUGUGAACUAUCAGCCUUGAGUUCCCACAGGUUCUUAUAGCUUCUACUACCAAAAGAUAUGACUUCUGCCUUCUAAAUUUCUUGCUUUGUAUGUUAACAAUUCGAGAAUUUGGGAAAUUAUAUACAAGUUUUUAUACAACUUUCCUGUAAGUUUGAAAGAAAAAUGCAUGCCUCACUUUUAGAAGAGUAGUUUUUUCUGAGACUGAAACUUUUCCCUCCACUUACUCUCAUGACACUUUCUAUAUCUCCUUCUCUAGUUGCUUCUGAGAUUUCCCUGAUCCAGUCUCAAUUAUAAAUGUUGCAAUUCUGACUUAAGAGAGGAACCUUUUUUGGGGGGAGUGAAAAUUUGCUAUUCCCCCACUAUUUUAUACUUUUUGUCAUUCUCCCAUGCUCAGAUGUGGCUUCUUGCAUAGGUUCUAGUAGUCCCGGGUACUUUGGGCCAUGUUUACUUAUGAUUUGGUAUUUUCUGCUUUUUAUUAUCUUCUAGUUUUACUGAAGAUAUAUGGGUUUGUUUUGUUUUGUUCUUUUUCUUAACUUUCUCUUUGUUGCUCUACACAGGUCCUAGGAGAAAGAUGGGGAAAUUUGGAAAUUGCUAUUAUGUUCCUACUGGAACAUGAAGUCUAGCUUUGGAAAUUUUUAAGAAUAAUUUCUAAAUAAUCUAUCAAAGAAAUCACAAAAGAAAUUUGAAUUUCAAAUUGAGUGAUUAACAGUACACAUCAGAACUGGCAUAAUUGACUAAAACAAUGCUUAGAGAGAAUUUAGAACUUUAAAUGCCUAUUACAAAAAAAGAAAAGCAUCAGUGACCUGAGUAUUCAUCUCAACAGUUAGAAAAAUAACAGAAAAUUAAAUUCAAAGGGAAUAGAAGAAAAUAAAAGCUAAAAAUAGAAACCAAUGAGGGGGGUAAAACUUAUUUCCUUUAAGUAGGGAGACUUCAAAGAUUCUUAAGAAGGAUAGUGACAUGAUCAUAUUUGUUUUCCAGAAAGAGACCUCUGGCAGCAGUGUGGAGAAUAGAUAGAGGAGAAAAAAACUAAUCUGAGAAGCCAGUUAGGAGGCUUUUCAAUCACUAGUUCAGGUAAGAGAUGGUGAUGGUCUGAUGUGGGAUGGAGAGGAAGGAGAAAAUUCCAAGGAUUAAGCUAAAAGCAAAACAAAAAAUAGAUUUAAGAACCAUGUCCAGAAAAAAAUCUUUGAGUAUAAUUACUGGUACAUGGAAAUAAUGAGAAACAAGGAUUAGAAAUUUUACUAGGUUUUUGAAGGAAUUCCCUUUGCAAGUAGACUACAAACUUGGUAUACUAAUCAAGAUUCGACUGGAGAAGCAGAACCAGUAGUAGAUUUGUAGAGAUUUGGUUUCUGUAGUUGUAGGGGCCAGUAAAACCAGUCUGAAGUCUUAGGGCAGGCUGUCAGGAAAGACAGGCUAGAAAUCUUGGACACAGUCUGAAGCUAUUUUCUAUAGGUGAUUUUUGUUCUCUGUUUUGGGGAAGCCCCAACCCUGCUUUUAAUUCAUUUCAACUAAUUGAAUCAGGCCCAUCCACAUUAUCCAGAAUAAUCUCCCUUACUUAAGUCAAUUGAUGAUGGACUUUAAUUACAUCUACAAAGUAGGCUUCAUACAACACAUUAGUAUUUUAUUGAAUAAAUGGCAAAUAGUAGCCUAGCCAAAUGUGACACAUUAAAAAAAAAAGCAACAAUACUUGGCCUAAAAAUUUCUGUGAUUAUUUAAUCCUUGAAACAACCUUUGAAUGCAGUGACUGUGCUCUAUCAUAAACUGAUUUCCAAGAAGGGGAUACCCUCUAACACACAUUCAGAUUAAUGACUCUGAAGGCAUGAAUGCCAGUGCUGUCCACUGAAUAUGGGAGGUAGAUCUGCUGGUGCUGGUUAGUUGGCAGUAUACACCAAAUGUAGAUAGAUUGCAUGUUAACAUGUUCAUAGCAUAAUAAUUCUAUGGAACAUAUGGAUAGAGACAUGUAGUAUGUAGUUAUAAAUUUAGGUCAGAAAAUCUGUAGUGGUAGGAGCUAAAAUUAAGAAAAUAUCUUGAGUCCUCUGAAUCUAAAUUUAUAUUUAAAACAGAAGUGGGAAAAGUCUCUAGGGAUAGUGAUUUGAUUAAAUCUAAACAGGAAAGAGAAGGGUGAGACCAUGGGGGAUAGCAAUAUUUAAGGAGUGAAUUAGAACCACUAAACAAGUAAUGAUUAUUACAGAGUGUAUGAGAGCCAAAAAUAGUACUAAGAAGCCAAGAAAUAGAAUAUGUUCAAAAAUAGAUGAUUUAAAGUUAAACAAUGAGAGCUUUUUCAGUAAAGUCAAGAGCAAGACAAGGAUAUCAUUACUAUGAUUUAGUUACUGUCAUGUUUUCUAAUUUCUGUUCUUCUUACAGGUUUCAAUCUACAUGUUACUUCCUUGAGAAGCGUUGUUUGACAGACACCCUUCUCCCCCAUCCAGCCAUCCCCCAAGUCUGAGUUAGGUAUUUCUCUUAUGUAUUCCCAUAGCACAGUAUACUUCCCCUGUACUGACAUGUGUCACCCUGAAUUGAAAGUGUUUAUUUUUCUGUGUCUCCAGUUAGAAUGAGAGCCCCUUUAACUAGGCACUGUCCAUCUUAUUCCCCAGUGUACCUUCCAUGCCUAGUGUAACUCUUGGUCACAUUCAGAAAAAAAAGAAUAAAUAAAUCCAUGAGCAUGAAGGAGGAGCAUUCCAAUGAGUCUGAAAAGUCAGAAGUAUUUGUAGAAGUAAGUGAUGUCUUAGCUGAGAUUUAACAGUGUUAUGAGAUCAAGAAUUUGGAAUGAAAAGCAGAUGUCCAGGAAUAAAUGUUAAAAGACAAGAGAAAAAUCUAAAUAAAUGAAAUCGAUUGAGCCUUUUGAGAAAUCCUAAAAUGUUAGUUCUCCCAAAAUUAAAUGCAAUUUUAAUUAAAAUCCCAAUAGGAUAUGAGGUUUGAGUAAUUUGGGGCUGGGAUUAUAGCUCAGUGGUAGAGCACUUGCCUAGCAUUGUGAGGCACUGGGUUCAAUUCUCAGCAACAUAUACAAAUAAAUAAAAAUAAAGUCCUAUCAACAACUAAAAAUAAAAAUAAAUAAAUUAAAUAAAUAAAUAAAUACACACACACGCACACACACAUAUAUAUAAACAAGUAUAAAUAUUUUUUUAAAAGAAUAAAUGACCAAGAAUAGCCAGUACUAUUUUAAAGAAAAACAAAGGAUUGCCCUACUUGUUAGAAAAUUCUAACAGUAUGUCACAGUGAUUUAAGUGUAGAGACAGACAGGUUAAUAAAGCAAAAAAAGUACCUAGAAGCAAUGCAGAUGUGUGUGUGUGUGUGAAAUUUUUGUAAGUGGUGUUUUACAUAAAUGGGAAAGAGCAAAAUAUUCAUUAAAUUGUGUUAUAUAAUUGUUAACCAUUUUAAAAAAUAGUUGGAUCUAUCUCACACUUUAUAUAAAAUUUAUUUCUAGGGAUCCUAAAUAUGAAAAGCAAAACUUUGGAAUUAUUUGGAAUAAAAAUAAGAGAAUAGUUCUAACACUGAGCAAGUUACAAAGUGUAAAACAUAAACUUGACUAUGUCAAAAUUUAAACUUCUGUAAUACAAAUGAUAACAUGAACAACUUUAAAAUACCAAAAUAUUCGUAGCUCAUUUAAUUAAGAGCUUUAUAAAAUAUAAGGACAGAUGAAAUAGAAAAAUGGAUAGUUAUCAAAAGAGGAAACCUAGUUGGACAAGGUAAUGCAUAGUUGUAAUUCUAGCAACUCAGGAUGAUUGCAAGUUCAAGGACAGCCUGGGCAAUUUAUUGAGAGCCUGUCUUGAAACAAAAAAAGAGGAAACCCAAAUGGCCAAUAAACACAUAGAAAAAAAA